Molecule: ribosomal RNA, 467 nt
Filed under: uncultured bacterium
Lineage: Bacteria
Description: bacterial SSU rRNA
Rfam family: Bacterial small subunit ribosomal RNA
Source: RNAcentral
CGCUGGCGGCAUGCCUUACACAUGCAAGUCGAACGGCAGCGCGGGGCAACCUGGCGGCGAGUGGCGAACGGGUGAGUAAUAUAUCGGAACGUACCCUGGAGUGGGGGAUAACGUAGCGAAAGUUACGCUAAUACCGCAUACGAUCUAAGGAUGAAAGUGGGGGAUCGCAAGACCUCAUGCUCCUGGAGCGGCCGAUAUCUGAUUAGCUAGUUGGUAGGGUAAAAGCCUACCAAGGCAUCGAUCAGUAGCUGGUCUGAGAGGACGACCAGCCACACUGGAACUGAGACACGGUCCAGACUCCUACGGGAGGCAGCAGUGGGGAAUUUUGGACAAUGGGCGCAAGCCUGAUCCAGCAAUGCCGCGUGAGUGAAGAAGGCCUUCGGGUUGUAAAGCUCUUUUGUCAGGGAAGAAACGGACCUUUCUAAUACAGGGGUCUAAUGACGGUACCUGAAGAAUAAGCACCGGCU